RNAcentral lists this ribosomal RNA (1483 nucleotides) under metagenome. Its description in RNAcentral is "bacterial SSU rRNA". It matches the Rfam family "Bacterial small subunit ribosomal RNA". The record is from RNAcentral.
AGAGUUUGAUCCUGGCUCAGGAUGAACGCUGGCGGCGUGCUUAACACAUGCAAGUCGAGCGAAGCACUUUGGAAAGAUUCUUCGGAUGAUUUCCUUUGUGACUGAGCGGCGGACGGGUGAGUAACGCGUGGGUAACCUGCCUCAUACAGGGGGAUAACAGUUAGAAAUGACUGCUAAUACCGCAUAAGACCACGGUACCGCAUGGUACAGUGGUAAAAACUCCGGUGGUAUGAGAUGGACCCGCGUCUGAUUAGGUAGUUGGUGGGGUAACGGCCUACCAAGCCGACGAUCAGUAGCCGACCUGAGAGGGUGACCGGCCACAUUGGGACUGAGACACGGCCCAGACUCCUACGGGAGGCAGCAGUGGGGAAUAUUGCACAAUGGAGGAAACUCUGAUGCAGCGACGCCGCGUGAAGGAUGAAGUAUUUCGGUAUGUAAACUUCUAUCAGCAGGGAAGAAAAUGACGGUACCUGACUAAGAAGCCCCGGCUAACUACGUGCCAGCAGCCGCGGUAAUACGUAGGGGGCAAGCGUUAUCCGGAUUUACUGGGUGUAAAGGGAGCGUAGACGGCACGGCAAGCCAGAUGUGAAAGCCCGGGGCUCGACCCCGGGACUGCAUUUGGAACUGCUGAGCUAGAGUGUCGGAGAGGCAAGUGGAAUUCCUAGUGUAGCGGUGAAAUGCGUAGAUAUUAGGAGGAACACCAGUGGCGAAGGCGGCCUGCUGGGCUUUAACUGACGCUGAGGCUCGAAAGCGUGGGUAGCAAACAGGAUUAGAUACCCUGGUAGUCCACGCUGUAAACGAUGAUUACUAGGUGUGGGGGAUUUCGGUCCUCCGUGCCGGAGCAAACGCAAUAAGUAAUCCACCUGGGGAGUACGGCCGCAAGGCUGAAACUCAAAGGAAUUGACGGGGGCCCGCACAAGCAGUGGAUUAUGUGGUUUAAUUCGAAGCAACGCGAAGAACCUUACCAGGUCUUGACAUCCGAUGCAUAACUCAGAGAUGAGUGAAAUCCUUUCGGGGACAUCGAGACAGGUGGUGCAUGGUUGUCGUCAGCUCGUGUCGUGAGAUGUUGGGUUAAGUCACGCAACGAGCGCAACCCCUAUUGAUAGUUGCUACGCAAGAGCACUCUAUCGAGACUGCCGUUGACAAAACGGAGGAAGGUGGGGAUGACGUCAAAUCAUCAUGCCCUUUAUGACCUGGGCUACACACGUAAUACAAUGGCGCAAAACAGAGGGAAACAAGACCGCGAGGUGGAGCAAAACCCUAAAAGGCGUCUUAGUUCAGAUUGCAGGCUGCAACUCGCCUGCAUGAAGGUGGAAUUGCUAGUAAUCGCGGAUCAGCAUGCCGCGGUGAAUACGUUCCCGGGCCUUGUACACACCGCCCGUCACACCAUGGGAGUCGGUAACACCCGAAGUCAGUAGCCUAACCGCAAGGAGGACGCUGCCGAAGGUGGGAUUGGUAACUGGGGUGAAGUCGUAACAAGGUA